Molecule: long non-coding RNA, 446 nt
Filed under: Homo sapiens (human)
Lineage: Eukaryota; Metazoa; Chordata; Mammalia; Primates; Hominidae
Description: non-protein coding lnc-ZNF573-1:2
Source: RNAcentral
GCUUGAACCUGGGAGGAGGAGGUUGCGUUGAGCUGAGAUUGCACCACUGCACUCCAGCCUGGGCGUCAAAGUAGGAAGCCUGCUGUGGAGCAGGAGCUGCCGGGCGAGCCUCGCGGAAGCUCCUGGGCGGGGAGGUGGGAUGUGACGGAGGGCGUGGCUCCGCGGAUGGUAGAGCCCCUCCUUUGCGCGCGCGCCCUAGCCCCGCCCUGGCUUGCACGCAUGCGCGUUCGGUGGGUUCCGCGUGCUUUCUCGCCAAAGUGCGGCGGCUGCUUUUCCCAGCUUCAGCUAGGCGGCAACAAGGUUCUCAUAGCACACCGGGCUGGCGCGGAAGGGAGCCAAUGGUCCGGCUUAGACACCUGCCUCUGCUCCUGCCCAACGCCCUGAGACACCAGGUUCUAUACACGGAGUCCAGGGCCGUGUUUUCCGUGUGUGUGUGUGUGUGUGUG